Molecule: ribosomal RNA, 700 nt
Filed under: uncultured bacterium
Lineage: Bacteria
Description: bacterial SSU rRNA
Rfam family: Bacterial small subunit ribosomal RNA
Source: RNAcentral
ACGAGAGUUUUUAACUCAAGUGGCGGACGGGUGAGUAACACGUAAGAAUUUGCCUUUAGGAGGGGGACAACAACUGGAAACGGUUGCUAAUACCCCAUAUGCUUUCGAGUGAAAUGGAUUUUUCCGCCUAAAGAGAAGCUUGCGGCUGAUUAGCUUGUUGGUGAGGUAAUGGCUCACCAAGGCGACGAUCAGUAUCUGGUUUGAGAGGACGAUCAGACACACUGGAACUGAGACACGGUCCAGACUCCUACGGGAGGCAGCAGUGGGGAAUUUUCCGCAAUGGGCGAAAGCCUGACGGAGCAAUACCGCGUGAGGGAUGACGGCCUAUGGGUUGUAAACCUCUUUUUUCAGGGAGGAAUCAAAUGACGUGUACCUGAAGAAUAAGCAUCGGCUAACUCCGUGCCAGCAGCCGCGGUAAGACGGAGGAUGCAAGUGUUAUCCGGAAUCACUGGGCGUAAAGCGUCUGUAGGUGGUCCAAUAAGUCAACUGUUAAAUCUUGAGGCUCAACCUCAAAAUCGCAGUCGAAACUAUUAGACUAGAGUAUAGUAGGGGUAAAGGGAAUUUCCAGUGGAGCGGUGAAAUGCGUAGAGAUUGGAAAGAACACCGAUGGCGAAGGCACUUUACUGGGCUAUUACUAACACUCAGAGACGAAAGCUAGGGUAGCAAAUGGGAUUAGAUACCCCAGUAGUCCUAGCCGUAA